This 474-nucleotide ribosomal RNA is filed under the name uncultured bacterium. RNAcentral's name for it is "bacterial SSU rRNA". It matches the Rfam family "Bacterial small subunit ribosomal RNA", at positions 335 to 801 of the family's 1533-position model. The record is from RNAcentral.
ACUCCUACGGGAGGCAGCAGUAGGGAAUCUUCCACAAUGGGCACAAGCCUGAUGGAGCAACACCGCGUGAGUGAAGAAGGGUUUCGGCUCGUAAAGCUCUGUUGUUAAAGAAGAACACGUAUGAGAGUAACUGUUCAUACGUUGACGGUAUUUAACCAGAAAGUCACGGCUAACUACGUGCCAGCAGCCGCGGUAAUACGUAGGUGGCAAGCGUUAUCCGGGAUUUAUUGGGCGUAAAGAGAGUGCAGGCGGUUUUCUAAGUCUGAUGUGAAAGCCUUCGGCUUAACCGGAGAAGUGCAUCGGAAACUGGAUAACUUGAGUGCAGAAGAGGGUAGUGGAACUCCAUGUGUAGCGGUGGAAUGCGUAGAUAUAUGGAAGAACACCAGUGGCGAAGGCGGCUACCUGGUCUGCAACUGACGCUGAGACUCGAAAGCAUGGGUAGCGAACAGGAUUAGAUACCCUGGUAGGAUAGCG